CUGCGAAUACCGGAGAAUGUUAUCACGGGAGACACACGGCGGGUGCUAACGUCCGUCGUGAAGAGGGAAACAACCCAGACCGCCAGCUAAGGUCCCAAAGUCAUGGUUAAGUGGGAAACGAUGUGGGAAGGCCCAGACAGCCAGGAUGUUGGCUUAGAAGCAGCCAUCAUUUAAAGAAAGCGUAAUAGCUCACUGGUCGAGUCGGCCUGCGCGGAAGAUGUAACGGGGCUAAACCAUGCACCGAAGCUGCGGCAGCGACACUAUGUGUUGUUGGGUAGGGGAGCGUUCUGUAAGCCUGUGAAGGUGUGCUGUGAGGCAUGCUGGAGGUAUCAGAAGUGCGAAUGCUGACAUAAGUAACGAUAAAGCGGGUGAAAAGCCCGCUCGCCGGAAGACCAAGGGUUCCUGUCCAACGUUAAUCGGGGCAGGGUGAGUCGACCCCUAAGGCGAGGCCGAAAGGCGUAGUCGAUGGGAAACAGGUUAAUAUUCCUGUACUUGGUGUUACUGCGAAGGGGGGACGGAGAAGGCUAUGUUGGCCGGGCGACGGUUGUCCCGGUUUAAGCGUGUAGGCUGGUUUUCCAGGCAAAUCCGGAAAACCAAGGCUGAGGCGUGAUGACGAGGCACUACGGUGCUGAAGCGACAAAUGCCCUGCUUCCAGGAAAAGCCUCUAAGCAUCAGGUAACAUCAAAUCGUACCCCAAACCGACACAGGUGGUCAGGUAGAGAAUACCAAGGCGCUUGAGAGAACUCGGGUGAAGGAACUAGGCAAAAUGGUGCCGUAACUUCGGGAGAAGGCACGCUGAUAUGUAGGUGAAGCGACUUGCUCGUGGAGCUGAAAUCAGUCGAAGAUACCAGCUGGCUGCAACUGUUUAUUAAAAACACAGCACUGUGCAAACACGAAAGUGGACGUAUACGGUGUGACGCCUGCCCGGUGCCGGAAGGUUAAUUGAUGGGGUUAGCGGUAACGCGAAGCUCUUGAUCGAAGCCCCGGUAAACGGCGGCCGUAACUAUAACGGUCCUAAGGUAGCGAAAUUCCUUGUCGGGUAAGUUCCGACCUGCACGAAUGGCGUAAUGAUGGCCAGGCUGUCUCCACCCGAGACUCAGUGAAAUUGAACUCGCUGUGAAGAUGCAGUGUACCCGCGGCAAGACGGAAAGACCCCGUGAACCUUUACUAUAGCUUGACACUGAACAUUGAGCCUUGAUGUGUAGGAUAGGUGGGAGGCUUUGAAGUGUGGACGCCAGUCUGCAUGGAGCCGACCUUGAAAUACCACCCUUUAAUGUUUGAUGUUCUAACGUUGGCCCGUAAUCCGGGUUGCGGACAGUGUCUGGUGGGUAGUUUGACUGGGGCGGUCUCCUCCUAAAGAGUAACGGAGGAGCACGAAGGUUGGCUAAUCCUGGUCGGACAUCAGGAGGUUAGUGCAAUGGCAUAAGCCAGCUUGACUGCGAGCGUGACGGCGCGAGCAGGUGCGAAAGCAGGUCAUAGUGAUCCGGUGGUUCUGAAUGGAAGGGCCAUCGCUCAACGGAUAAAAGGUACUCCGGGGAUAACAGGCUGAUACCGCCCAAGAGUUCAUAUCGACGGCGGUGUUUGGCACCUCGAUGUCGGCUCAUCACAUCCUGGGGCUGAAGUAGGUCCCAAGGGUAUGGCUGUUCGCCAUUUAAAGUGGUACGCGAGCUGGGUUUAGAACGUCGUGAGACAGUUCGGUCCCUAUCUGCCGUGGGCGCUGGAGAACUGAGGGGGGCUGCUCCUAGUACGAGAGGACCGGAGUGGACGCAUCACUGGUGUUCGGGUUGUCAUGCCAAUGGCACUGCCCGGUAGCUAAAUGCGGAAGAGAUAAGUGCUGAAAGCAUCUAAGCACGAAACUUGCCCCGAGAUGAGUUCUCCCUGAGACUUAGAGUCUCCUGAAGGAACGUUGAAGACGACGACGUUGAUAGGCCGGGUGUGUAAGCGCAGCGAUGCGUUGAGCUAACCGGUACUAAUGAACCGUGAGGCUUAACCUU
This 1994-nucleotide ribosomal RNA is filed under the name Escherichia coli. RNAcentral's name for it is "partial 23S ribosomal RNA". It matches the Rfam family "Bacterial large subunit ribosomal RNA", at positions 954 to 2925 of the family's 2925-position model. The record is from RNAcentral. Lineage: Bacteria; Pseudomonadati; Pseudomonadota; Gammaproteobacteria; Enterobacterales; Enterobacteriaceae.